Molecule: transfer RNA, 95 nt
Filed under: Nannocystaceae bacterium
Lineage: Bacteria; Pseudomonadati; Myxococcota; Nannocystales; Nannocystaceae
Description: tRNA-Sec
Rfam family: Selenocysteine transfer RNA
Source: RNAcentral
GGAGGCGCAGGGCGAGCUGGUGCUGUCCCCGGACUUCAAAUCCGGUGUGGGGUGCGAAGAGCAUCCUGGGCGGGUUCGAUUCCCGUGCGCCUCCG